GAUGAACGCUGGCGGCGUGCUUAACACAUGCAAGUCGAACGGAAAGGCCUCUGCUUGCAGGGGUACUCGAGUGGCGAACGGGUGAGUAACACGUGGGUGAUCUGCCCUGCACUUCGGGAUAAGCCUGGGAAACUGGGUCUAAUACCGGAUAGGACAAUGGUCUGGAUGCUGUUGUGGAAAGUUUUUCGGUGUGGGAUGAGCUCGCGGCCUAUCAGCUUGUUGGUGGGGUAAUGGCCUACCAAGGCGUCGACGGGUAGCCGGCCUGAGAGGGUGUACGGCCACAUUGGGACUGAGAUACGGCCCAGACUCCUACGGGAGGCAGCAGUGGGGAAUAUUGCACAAUGGGCGCAAGCCUGAUGCAGCGACGCCGCGUGGGGGAUGACGGCCUUCGGGUUGUAAACUCCUUUCGCUAGGGACGAAGCGUUUUUGUGACGGUACCUGGAGAAGAAGCACCGGCUAACUACGUG
RNAcentral lists this ribosomal RNA (467 nucleotides) under uncultured bacterium. Its description in RNAcentral is "partial 16S ribosomal RNA". It matches the Rfam family "Bacterial small subunit ribosomal RNA", at positions 28 to 507 of the family's 1533-position model. The record is from RNAcentral.